GAGGAUGCGAGCGUUAUCUGGAUUCAUUGGGUUUAAAGGGUGCGUAGGCCGGACGUUAAGUCAGCGGUGAAAUCCCGGAGCUCAACUCCGGCGAGCCGUUGAAACUGGCGUUCUUGAGUACGUGAAAGGCAUGCGGAAUGCGCGGUGUAGCGGUGAAAUGCAUAGAUAUCGCGCAGAACUCCGAUUGCGAAGGCAGCAUGCCGGUGCGUCACUGACGCUGAGGCACGAAAGCGUGGGGAUCGAA
This 244-nucleotide ribosomal RNA is filed under the name uncultured bacterium. RNAcentral describes it as "partial 16S ribosomal RNA". It matches the Rfam family "Bacterial small subunit ribosomal RNA", at positions 528 to 772 of the family's 1533-position model. The record is from RNAcentral.